GAUGAACGCUGGCGGCGUGCCUAAUACAUGCAAGUCGAGCGAACAGAUGAGGAGCUUGCUCCUCUGACGUUAGCGGCGGACGGGUGAGUAACACGUGGAUAACCUACCUAUAAGACUGGGAUAACUUCGGGAAACCGGCGCUAAUACCGGAUAAUAUAUUGAACCGCAUGGUUCAAUAGUGAAAGACGGUUUUGCUGUCACUUAUAGAUGGAUCCGCGCCGCAUUAGCUAGUUGGUAAGGUAACGGCUUACCAAGGCAACGAUGCGUAGCCGAACUGAGAGGGUGAUCGGCCACACUGGAACUGAGACACGGUCCAGACUCCUACGGGAGGCAGCAGUAGGGAAUGUUCCGCAAUGGGCGAAAGCCUGACGGAGCAACGCCGCGUGAGUGAUGAAGGUCUUCGGAUCGUAAAACUCUGUUAUUAGGGAAGAACAAAUGUGUAAGUAACUAUGCACGUCUUGACGGUACCUAAUCAGAAAGCCACGGCUAACUACGUG
This 497-nucleotide ribosomal RNA is filed under the name uncultured bacterium. RNAcentral describes it as "partial 16S ribosomal RNA". It matches the Rfam family "Bacterial small subunit ribosomal RNA", at positions 28 to 507 of the family's 1533-position model. The record is from RNAcentral.